GGGGUUGUAGCUCAGUGGUAGAGCGCGUGAUUUGCAUUUAAGCUUGCUUUCCCGAGGUCUAGGGUUCAAUCCCCUGCAACUCCA
Molecule: transfer RNA, 84 nt
Organism: Exidia glandulosa HHB12029
Lineage: Eukaryota; Fungi; Basidiomycota; Agaricomycetes; Auriculariales; Exidiaceae
Rfam family: tRNA
About the family: Transfer RNA (tRNA) molecules are approximately 80 nucleotides in length. Their secondary structure includes four short double-helical elements and three loops (D, anti-codon, and T loops).
Source: Rfam